This 485-nucleotide long non-coding RNA is filed under the name Musa acuminata (dwarf banana). RNAcentral describes it as "long non-coding RNA (MACU_LNC004832)". Lineage: Eukaryota; Viridiplantae; Streptophyta; Magnoliopsida; Zingiberales; Musaceae. The record is from RNAcentral.
AGAGGGAGACCGCUCGAGAGAUCGUAAGAUACCUCUUCUAUUCUCGUUCAUUUACCCUCUGAACCCUAAUCCUCGUCGCUGGGAUCCUUUGUGCUGUUGACAAGGCGAUAUCUCUUCUCCCCUGCUGCGAUACAUGUUUCUAUCUUUCGGCUACGGAAUUGGGAACCUUUACAAUUUGUUGAUUGCUUUGCGUUCGGAGAUCGCUGAGAUCAAGCGGCGAUUUGGGACCUUCGAUCUUCUAAUGCUUUGCUUUGCCCUCCCUACAUUUGUACGAACGAUGCGCCCACGAUCCACACUUGGAUUCUAAAACAAAAUUGAAUCAGGUUUGAUUUGGCUGAUCACUUAUAAAGUUCUCAGGGCGCGUACAAAAAUCUUGCUUAUUGUAGAAUUAUUGAUGCAGAGAGUAAUUUUCCUUUUUAGUUCUUUAGGGCAAUUACACUUUACGACUUGCAAGCAGGGUAUACGACGAUACCAAAUGUGUCGGA